CCAACUUUUUUGUGGUGAAGUAUAUAGAAACUCACAAGUCCCCUUUUUUAUCAACCCAGCAUCAUUUUUGUUACCACUGGGACCACCAUUGGACGAUAGUAUGUACUUAAUAAGCGUAAAUAUAAAUGACGUAAAGUUCAUGUUUUAUAUUCUAUCUAUACAUGAAUAUAAGCUAUAAUAUUAUGAAUUUUUACAUAAAUCUUAAUGCUCAUUAACAAUUAGAUAGAAAUCUAGAACUGCUUACAACACUUAAAAAGUACUAGUUAGAUUCAUAGUUAAUAGAAGUCACUUUAGUGAUGCAAUUUGCAUAUUCCCAGUAGACUUUGAAUCCUAGAUCAAGGAAAAACGUUUCAAGAUAAAAGCCAUAAGAUUCGUACUUUUUGUACUAAUCAUUUAUUUAUUUGUUCAUGAAAUUUUGGCUUUUAAUUGGAGUGUGUAUUUCUGAUUCUCUUUUUCUACAAAAGUAAAUUAUAUAUCACAGUGCCUACUAAUUUGUUGUCGUUUGAUCACACCUAUAUUAAACGACUAUGACUAGAUGGGCAUGCAAUGCAUAUUAAGAAAAAUGCGUAAUGUUUUUUUGGGUGGAUAUCAACGUGAUGAGAAUAGUUUUAUCACGUUGGAAGAAUGCGAUAAAACUUAUUACAUUUUACAAUAGUGCUGAUUGUAUAGUAAUCUUAUUCCAAAUAAAUAAUCUAUAUAUAUUCCAAUGAAAGAACGAAUGAUACAAGUAUGUGCAAGAAAUAUGUAAAUCUUGUUAACAAAUCUUGGAAAUCAUUUUUCAAAUCAAGAAAAUGAAUAUUAAUUAUGCGUGAGAUUUUAUCUUAUUUUUUUUUAUAGUAGUGUGGUAUUCCACAAAUGAUGUAAAUUAUAAUUAAUAGAUAGGAAUACGAGGAUUUAAUAAAUAAACGAGACAGAGAAGCAUAUAAAUUUGUACGAGUUGUGUGGAGUAUGAUACAAUAUAUAUGCCUAUACGUGAAUAAUUACUAUGAACAUUGCCUAUGAACAAAAAUUUAAAUUACUUAUGAAGAUUAUAAUAAAUGAACAAAAAUUUAAAGAUAAACCUAGAAAAAGUUUAUGGAAGGUAUUGUUUAAAUAUGGUUUUUGUCAUAAUAUUCCUUUGUUUGAGAUUAACAUAAUCACAAACUGUUACCUAAUUGUCAAAGCUCUAAUUGGUUAGAUUCUACUUACUAUAUUGUUUCUUGUCCUAUUCUCGCUUCAUACAAACUUCUUAAAGAGUACUUAAUAAGCCUUCCAAAAACAUAAUGAAACUGUAGGGAACCAAUGAAAUUCCAAUUUCCGAUCGGAAAUUAUAGUUAUAAACAUAUUUCAUUAAUAUAGCAGCCUCGCUUUUACUUUAACAGCGUACAUGGUUCGUAUUAGAAAUGAACUUAUUGGUAUUACCAGUAUAUUUUACGUACUAUAUAAUAAGCGGCAACAUAUCAUUGUGUUUGACCGAUGGUACAAAAGAUAACAACAAAAUUUAUCUAUGGUAGAUACGAAGUAUUGUUAAGAUAUUUAAUAUUUUUCUAUACUGUUAUAUAUAUAUUGUUACUUCAUAUAUUUAUUUUUAUUGAAAAGUGAAAAA
Molecule: long non-coding RNA, 1585 nt
Organism: Polistes canadensis
Lineage: Eukaryota; Metazoa; Arthropoda; Insecta; Hymenoptera; Vespidae
Exons: 2
Source: RefSeq, a predicted model, not a curated record